This 58-nucleotide unclassified non-coding RNA is filed under the name Paenalicyclobacillus macrosporangiidus. RNAcentral's name for it is "Alicyclobacillus macrosporangiidus Bacillus-plasmid RNA". The stretch from base 5 to 41 matches the Rfam family "Bacillus-plasmid RNA", at positions 9 to 44 of the family's 61-position model. Lineage: Bacteria; Bacillati; Bacillota; Bacilli; Caryophanales; Alicyclobacillaceae. The record is from RNAcentral.
GCGCCGGUACCGGACCGAGCGCAGCGAGGGAGGAUAAGGAGGCGCGACCCUUGGUGUU